This 51-nucleotide non-coding RNA is filed under the name Trypanosoma lewisi. The record is from RNAcentral. Lineage: Eukaryota; Euglenozoa; Kinetoplastea; Trypanosomatida; Trypanosomatidae.
AUAUAAAACAUACAUCAACGGGAAUAGAACGUUUGAAUAAUAGAUAUGUAG